This 252-nucleotide ribosomal RNA is filed under the name uncultured bacterium. RNAcentral's name for it is "partial 16S ribosomal RNA". It matches the Rfam family "Bacterial small subunit ribosomal RNA", at positions 524 to 776 of the family's 1533-position model. The record is from RNAcentral.
UACGGAGGAUGCGAGCGUUAUCCGGAUUUAUUGGGUUUAAAGGGUGCGUAGGCGGUCCGGAAAGUCAGCGGUAAAAGCCCGGGGCUCAACCCCGGCGAGCCGUUGAAACUGUCGGACUAGAGACGGCGAGAAGUACGCGGAAUGCGCGGUGUAGCGGUGAAAUGCAUAGAUAUCGCGCAGAACUCCGAUUGCGAAGGCGGUUUACUGGACCACAACUGACGCUGAGACACGAAAGCGUGGGGAGCAAACAGG